Molecule: ribosomal RNA, 405 nt
Filed under: uncultured bacterium
Lineage: Bacteria
Description: bacterial SSU rRNA
Rfam family: Bacterial small subunit ribosomal RNA
Source: RNAcentral
UGGGGAAUAUUGGACAAUGGGGGAAACCCUGAUCCAGCGACGCCGCGUGAGUGAAGAAGUAUUUCGGUAUGUAAAGCUCUAUCAGCAGGGAAGAAAAGAGACGGUACCUGACUAAGAAGCCCCGGCUAACUACGUGCCAGCAGCCGCGGUAAUACGUAGGGGGCAAGCGUUAUCCGGAUUUACUGGGUGUAAAGGGAGCGUAGACGGCAGUGCAAGUCUGGAGUGAAAGGCAGGGGCCCAACCCCUGGACUGCUCUGGAAACUGUAUUGCUAGAGUGCAGGAGAGGUAAGUGGAAUUCCUAGUGUAGCGGUGAAAUGCGUAGAUAUUAGGAGGAACACCAGUGGCGAAGGCGGCUUACUGGACUGUAACUGACGUUGAGGCUCGAAAGCGUGGGGAGCAAACAGG